This 322-nucleotide ribosomal RNA is filed under the name uncultured Bacteroidales bacterium. Its description in RNAcentral is "partial 16S ribosomal RNA". The record is from RNAcentral. Lineage: Bacteria; Pseudomonadati; Bacteroidota; Bacteroidia; Bacteroidales.
GGAGUUUGGACCGUGUCUCAGUUCCAAUGUGGGGGACCUUCCUCUCAGAACCCCUACUGAUCGUUGACUAGGUGGGCCGUUACCCCGCCUACUAUCUAAUCAGACGCAUCCCCAUCCCUUAGCGAUGAAUCUUUGGUUUGAUUUUGAUGUCAGCAUCAAACAACAUAGGGAAUUAAUCCGACUUUCGCCGGGCUGUGCCCUACUAAGGGGAAGGUUGGAUACGCGUUACUCACCCGUGCGCCGGUCGUCGCCCAGCAAAAGCAAGCUUUCGCUGUCGUUACCCCUCGACUUGCAUGUGUUAAGCCUGUAGCUAGCGUUCAUC